UACCUGGAAAAGUACUGUGCCUCCCUC
Molecule: non-coding RNA, 27 nt
Filed under: Rattus norvegicus (Norway rat)
Lineage: Eukaryota; Metazoa; Chordata; Mammalia; Rodentia; Muridae
Source: RNAcentral